CACACGACUCUCGGCAACGGAUAUCUCGGCUCUCGCAUCGAUGAAGAACGUAGCGAAAUGCGAUACCUGGUGUGAAUUGCAGAAUCCCGCGAACCAUCGAGUCUUUGAACGCAAGUUACGCCCGAGGCCACUCGGCCGAGGGCACGCCUGCCUGGGCGUCACGC
This 164-nucleotide ribosomal RNA is filed under the name Triticum turgidum subsp. dicoccum. RNAcentral describes it as "Triticum dicoccon 5.8S ribosomal RNA". It matches the Rfam family "5.8S ribosomal RNA". Rfam says of the family: 5.8S ribosomal RNA (5.8S rRNA) is a component of the large subunit of the eukaryotic ribosome. It is transcribed by RNA polymerase I as part of the 45S precursor that also contains 18S and 28S rRNA. Functionally, it is thought that 5.8S rRNA may be involved in ribosome translocation. RNAcentral also lists the same sequence under 1 other name. Lineage: Eukaryota; Viridiplantae; Streptophyta; Magnoliopsida; Poales; Poaceae. The record is from RNAcentral.